UUCAUAUACAAUUCCAGGGCCUGAAUACUCUUAGCUUCAAAAGGACAUUCCAAAUAAAUGAUGGGCUAGAUAACUUGAGUGCUUGAAGGGGAGAGUUGCCAAAUUAAGGGUUGUCAAUUCAGUUGUUCAUCUUGUUUCUGUAUUGUGAAGUGCUACUAUAAGGUAUUGUUUUGUUGUUUAUGCAAGGUAGAGUGCAACCCGAAGACUUGUUGCAUGAUCCAGAGAUCGAAAAGACUGCAAGAGCCAAUCGAAAAGUUGUCCUAUAUAUUAGCUCGAUCAGAUGAACCUAGUUCAAGAACACACUACACGAAUCACAUGUUAUGAUUUAGCCGGUGUUUGGUACAGCGGUGGUGUGAAUGCAGCCGUGCUUUUUGUGUGA
Molecule: long non-coding RNA, 379 nt
Filed under: Medicago truncatula (barrel medic)
Lineage: Eukaryota; Viridiplantae; Streptophyta; Magnoliopsida; Fabales; Fabaceae
Description: lncRNA gene37844
Source: RNAcentral